AAACAAGUGUGUGAGAGAUGGAUAGAAAGUGUCAGUGAACAAGCGAGAGAAGUCCUAAAGUCGAGCAUCAGACGAGACAGUGUCCUCAACAGGUCAGUGGACUUACCGGGAGGAGAAUGUCCAAACCUUCGUCCAACGUCAAAGCCCUUCAGGCUAAUUUGAACAUCCCGAUGGGAGCGCUGCGUCCAGGGGCGGGACAUCCUGUCAAGAGGAGAGAGGAGACAGUCGACACAGAAGAGUCACCGGACGACCCGCCGGGCGCCGCCGCCCAGACGCCCGAGGAGAAGAAGGCGGCGCCGGGCGCGGCGAAGCUGGCCGGGCCGGCCGUCAACCUGUCGGAGCUGCAGAACGUCAAGAGCGAGCUGCGCUACGUCACCAAGGACUGACGGCAGCACGUGGGUGGAGGAGCGAGAGGCACUCAGACACACUCUGCUCCUCUUUUACAGCUCGUUGAAACCAGAACCCAAAAGCCAGGCGAAGAGGAAGGCACAACAAUCUUCACCGACACAGACUUGCCCACUGCCACCGAAGCUUCGAGCCGGCCGUAAACUAAUCCUCACGCGGCUGGGAAACGGAAACACAUCUUUCUUUUUUUAGCGUCCACAGAAAACAAAUUCCAGCCAAGAAGCAGGAAUCCAUUUUUUCUUUCCUCCAAUAGAUUUUUUUUUUAAACACGACAUAUACAGAUAUAUUGAUAUGUUUCCAUUCACCAGAUUGAUAAAUCACAAAAUUCUACAAAAAAAGGUGAAAUUACGUUGAGAUGGAGCGAGAUAUUCUGGAUUGAAGAAGACUCUACCUGGACGUUGAGGAGGAAGCUGUGUUGCAGUCACAUCUGAUUCUUGAGCACAUUCUUUGGAUUGUUUUGUAGUUUUUGGGGGUAUUUUUAAGUCUGAAGUCGCUGGUUUUGAAGGACGCUUGUUGACAAUCGAUACGCAUUGAAGGGAUUCCCCUUUGUUUUCCAUACUGUCAAACUACAACUAUUCAGCACUGAUUUAUACUGAUACUUUCUAUUAAAUUAUUCAUUUCUAAAUGUUGUAACAAUUUGAGACAGUGAGAUGGGAUUCAGGUUCGAAGUUUUUGAAGUAGGAAUUUGAUGUUUUACUUGUUUUAUUUGUUGAUGUGAUUCCCAGAAACUGAAAUCUUCAGGAAAAUGUUGCAAUAAAACAAAAUAUUUCUGAAAAUCCAAA
This is an RNA transcript of Pseudoliparis swirei, 1187 nucleotides long. It is a transcript of the gene named small muscle protein X-linked, with no coding region annotated. The record is from RefSeq and is a predicted model, not a curated record. The transcript has 5 exons. NCBI's taxonomy places the organism in Eukaryota, Metazoa, Chordata, Actinopteri, Perciformes, Liparidae.